This 138-nucleotide ribosomal RNA is filed under the name uncultured bacterium. Its description in RNAcentral is "partial 16S ribosomal RNA". It matches the Rfam family "Bacterial small subunit ribosomal RNA", at positions 355 to 507 of the family's 1533-position model. The record is from RNAcentral.
UGGGGAAUAUUGCGCAAUGGGCGAAAGCCUGACGCAGCAAUGCCGCGUGAAUGAAGAAGGCCUUCGGGUUGUAAAGUUCUUUUAGUAGGGAAGAAAAAAAUGACGGUACCUACAGAAACAGCCACGGCUAAUCACGUG